AUUGAACGCUGGCGGCAGGCCUAACACAUGCAAGUCGAGCGGUAACACAGAGGAGCUUGCUCCUUGGGUGACGAGCGGCGGACGGGUGAGUAAUGCCUGGGGAUCUGCCCGAUAGAGGGGGAUAACUACGGGAAACUGUAGCUAAUACCGCAUAACGCCUACGGGCCAAAGAGGGGGACCUUCGGGCCUCUCGCGUCAGGAUAUGCCCAGGUGGGAUUAGCUGGUUGGUGAGGUAACGGCUCACCAAGGCGACGAUCACUAGCUGGUCUGAGAGGAUGAUCAGCCACCCUGGAACUGAGACACGGUCCAGACUCCUACGGGAGGCAGCAGUGGGGAAUAUUGCACAAUGGGGGAAACCCUGAUGCAGCCAUGCCGCGUGUGUGAAGAAGGCCUUCGGGUUGUAAAGCACUUUCAGCGAGGAGGAAAGGGUGGUGGCUAAUACCUGCCAGCUGUGACGUACUCGCAGAAGAAGCACCGGCUAACUCCGUGCCAGCAGCCGCCGUAACAC
Molecule: ribosomal RNA, 508 nt
Filed under: uncultured bacterium
Lineage: Bacteria
Description: bacterial SSU rRNA
Rfam family: Bacterial small subunit ribosomal RNA
Source: RNAcentral